AAAAUAGCAAAAUAAACCUCAAAAGCUCUCAAAUUGAAGUCUUCAAUUUCAUGAUCACUAGCUCAAUCAAAGAAGUAGAAUACAAGGGUAAUUUCUCUAUAAUUUACAAUUACUGAAGUGGAUAGCUCGUCACUGUUGUAGGGAGCCCUCUCCUGUUAUUCCUUCCUUACGACAAAAGGAAAUGGUGUUUUUGAAGGACUGA
Molecule: unclassified non-coding RNA, 202 nt
Filed under: Hevea brasiliensis (rubber tree)
Lineage: Eukaryota; Viridiplantae; Streptophyta; Magnoliopsida; Malpighiales; Euphorbiaceae
Source: RNAcentral